UCUUCCUCUUCUAUAGGACUUUUGCUGAUGAGGUAAUAGUUCUUCAUUGCGCUGUUUCUUGUGUAAAUAUUAUUUCUAAACUUUCAUAAUACUUUAAAAGUUAAAACAUUAAUGUUGUAGGUAUAAGUAAUGUGUUGUUUUAAGUAUUUUUUUAUGCACAAUUUUGUUAAGUAAGGAUUAGAGCGUCGAAUGUUUGAAAUGUUUGGUCCUAAUUACACAUGGUAUUUACGCAGGUAUCACUCCGCCAGAAAAGUAGAGACCUGUGUAUGUGUUUCAUGUUUCCAACAAAGGUUUUGUAAAGGUUUUGUAUGCAGAAUCGAGCGAUUCCAAUAGGCUCGUCAAACUUGGACUUGGACGUGGAUUGUUUUCCCGAGGUGCAAAGCAAAUGGAGUGGAAACGGCGUGAAGGCGGGAGGAAACCGGAGUACCCGGAGGGAACCCACGCAGUCACAAGGAGAACAUGCAAACUCCACACAGAAAGAUCCCGAGCCCUGGAUUGAACUCAGGACUACUCAGGACCUUCGUAUUGUUAAGCACUUGCACUAACCCCUUUUCCACCGUACCUUAUAAUACUUGCAAAUGAGACAAAAGUGUAAGAAAACAAGUGGGCAGCACAGCUCAGUGUUAAAUGUUGAAUACAAAAAUUGAGAUAAUUGUUUUAAACAACAUGUAAUAGCACAUUUGAACACCAACAAAAAUACUGUACAGUACCCAUCCCAUGGUAAGACACAUGAUUCCCAAGUUUUACAAAGAUCAACAGUGGCCUCCUAAGGUCAUUUAAAGGCCUACUGAAAUGAGAUUUUCUUAUUCAAACGGGGAUAGCAGGCCCAUUCUAUGUGUCAUACUUGAUCAUUUCGCGAUAUUGCCAUAUUUUUGCUGAAAGGAUUUAGUAGAGAACAUCCACGAUAAAGUUCGCAACUUUUUGUCGCUAAUAAAUAAGCCUUGCCUUUACCGGAAGUAUGUGCGCGUGACGUCACCAGUGUGAGGGCUCCUCACAUCCUCACAUUGUUUAUAAUGUGAGCCACCAUCAUUAAGAGCAAUUCGGACCGAGAAAGCGACAAUUUCCCCAUUAAUUUGAGCGAGGAUGAAAGAUUUGUGGAUGAGGAUAUUGAUAGUAAAGGACUAGAAAAAUAAAUAAGAUAAAAUAAAAAGCGACGGCUCCGGGCGGCGGCAGUGUGAGCGUUUCAAAUGUAAUUAGACACAUUUGCUAGGAUAAUUCUGGAAGAUCCCUUAUCUGCUUAUUGUUUUAAUAGUGUUUUAGUGAGAUUGUAAAGACAUACCUCAAAGUCGGAUGGCUGCGGUGAACACGCCAGUGUCUUAGAGAGAAGCCGAGGAGCCAAGCUCACAGCUGCCUUUUUUGACAGCUACUGCAGGAGGACGCAUAAUCCACUGAUGUCUCCGGUAAGAUAUAGAUCACAAUUUUCCCAUCCAAAAACAUUCUGGUUGACAUAGAGAAACAUGUUCGCUUGACCGCUCUGUGUUAAAGCUUCACAACAAACAAAGAAACACCGGCUGUGUUUUGGUUUCUAAAGACAGCUGCAAUCAACCGCUUUCCACCAACACCAUUGUUCUUUAUAGUCUCCAUUAUUAAUUGGACAAAUUGCAAAAGAUUCAGCAACACAGAUGUCCAAAUUACUGUCUAAUUACGCGAUGAAAAGAGACAACUUUUAGCCGUAAGUGGUGCUGGGAUAAUAUGUCCCCUCCAACCAAUAACGUCACAAGCACUCGUCAUCAUUCCGCGACGUUUUCAACAAGAAACUCCGCGGGAAAUUUAAAAUUGAAUUUUAGUAAACUAAACCGGCCGUAUUAGCAUGUGUUGCAAUGUUAAUAUUUCAUCAUUGAUAUAUAAACUAUCAGACUGCGUGGUCGGUAGUAGUGGGUUUCAGUAGGCCUCUAAUGGCUUAUAUAUACCUUCUAAUCACUGACAUGGAUAUGGAAUCACUCUUAAAAGCCUACUGAAAUGAGAUUUUUUUUAUUCAAACGGGGAUAGCAGGUUCAUUCUAUGUGUCAUACUUGAUCAUUUCGCAAUAUUGCCAUAUUUUUGCUGAAAGGAUUUAGUAGAGAACAUCGACAAUAAAGUUCGCAACUUUUGGUUGCUAACAGAAAAGCCCUGCCUUUACCGGAAGUAGCAGACAAUGACGUCACAAGGGUGAUGGCUCCUCACAUCCUCACAUUGCUUUUAAUGGGAGCCUCCAACAAAAAUAGCUAUUCGGACCGAGAAAACGACAAUUUCCCCAUUAAUUCGAGCGAGGAUGAAAGAUUCGUGUUUGAGGAUAUUGAUAGCGACGGACUACAAAAAAAUAAAAAUCAUGUUAAAAAAAACGCGAUUGCAUUCUGAUGUUUUUAGACACAUUUACUAGGAUAAUUCUGGGAAAUCCCUUAUCUUUCUAUUGUGUUGCUAGUGUUUUAGUGAGUUUAAUAGUACCUGAUAGUCGGAGGGGUGUGUCCACGGGUGUGUUGACGCCAGUGUCUGAGGGAAGUUGACGGCAGCUGUACGGACGGCACAAGCUCAGCUGAUCUCCGGUAAGAGGCGACUUUUUACCACAAUUUUCUCACCGAAAACUGCUGGUUGACAUGUAGUCGGGAUCCAUGUUCGCUUGACCACUCUGAUCCAUAGUAAAGUUUCACCUCCGGGAAUUUUAAACAAGGAAUCACCGUGUGUUUGUGUGGCUAAAGGCUAAAGCUUCCCAACUCCAUCUUUCUACUUUGACUUCUCCAUUAUUAAUUGAACAAAUUGCAAAAAAUUCAGCAACACAGAUGUCCAGAAUACUGUUUAAUAAUGCGAUUUUUAGCUGUGUGUGUGCGCAACGCUGAUAUUUCCUAACAGUCCGCGACGUCACGCGUACACGUCAUCAUUCUGCAACGUUUUCAACAGGACACUUCGCGGGAAAUUUAAAAUUGUAAUUUAGUCAACUAAAAAGGCCGUAUUGGCAUGUGUUGCAAUGUUAAUAUUUCAUCAUUGAUAUAUAAACUUUCAGACUGCGUGGUCUCUAGUUGUGGGUUUCAGUAGCCCUUUAAUGUUUGAAUAAUGAACCGCUUUGGCUCUUUCUUGGCACUCAGUCUUCACACUUCAAUCGUGUUAGACAACAGAUUAAAUCUGUCCACCACCUUCCCAGCACAUCUCCCGCCUAUUUAAUCACACCUUUUUAUUUACAUCCUCUUACUAGGAAAGGGAAGAAUAAUGAGCAAGGACACUCCUGGCUGUCAGUUAAUGCGAAACGGCCUUCGUUCGCUGCUAAUAGAAAAUGGAGAACAAGGCGGUUGGCAAAUCUAGUUCUCUCAAGCAAUCAGAUUUUUCAGAUAGCCUCUUUUUAAUUGCAUCAUUCAUACGUCUUGGCGGAGCCUGAAAUUAAAAUAUAUAUAUAUAUUCAUAAUGGUUUUCAUCAACACAAUGACCACUUCCAGCUGUCUCCAAGGGUGAUGAAUCCAUAGCCGCCACACAAUAGCGAUAUUCAAUUUGCCGUAACAAAGAUAUGGAAUACUAAAACCAAUUUCCGAGCGGUUAGGUAAUAUACUGUGUGAGUCGCACAAUCUGCUGUCACCAUGGAGACACUCAUUUAGUGCACAUUCAGGUUAACAUGCUCCUACUUGUGGGGGUUUUGCUAUUUCGUGAAACAUGCAGCAGACCAUUAUGUACCACUCGAGCCACAUGUGGCUCUUUAGUCCCGCCCUAAUGGCUCCCUGGAGCAUUUUUUUAAAAAAGCAUUGAAAAUGGAAAAAUAUUGUUUUUGUUUUAGUAUGUUUUUUGAUUGAGGACAAACAUGACACACAUCUUCCCGAUUAUUAGAAAGCCCACUGUUUAAUAUGUUUGUGUGUAUGCCUCACUGAUGAGAGUAUUUGGUGAACAUCGUUUUGUGUUACUGAUUUCGUCCGUAUUUGAACUCACCGUAGCGUGGACUCUGACGCAACAGUCUGUUUACAUGUGAAAUCUUUCACUCCUUUGUCUCAUUUUGUCCAACAAAAGUUUAAUACUGUGCAUGAAUGCACAAAGGUGCCUUUUGUUGAUGUUAUUGACUUCUUUGAGUGCUAAUCAGGCAUAUUUGGUCAGUGCAUGACUGCAAGCUAAUCAAUGCUUUUUUUCCUGGGAGACUCACGAAUUUCAGUGCCCCUCCCGAAAAUCUCCCGGGGCAACCAUUCUCCCGAUUUCCGCCUGGACAAAAAUAAUGGGGGCGUGCCUUAAAGGUACUGCCUUUAACGUACUCUACAACCUGUCGUCAAGUCCGUUUUCCCUCCUUAGAAACAUAGUGCCAGCCUAAUCAUAUAUAUAUAUAUAUACACACACACACACAUGUACAUGAAUCAUUUUGACUCAUAAGGACCCCUACAGUUAACCACCAUUAAUACGUCAUAAUGAGAGAAAGUGGUUCUUAAGUGGAGCCAAACUUGCGGCGCCUGAGAAAGCCUUCCGGCAUAACAAUACAUCUCGCUGAUCACACGAUACAGCGUUUAUAUUGUCAGAUAUUUCUUUUUACUGUUGUAGUCCUCAGGCGGCACAGUUGCAUGGGUUAUCACGUCUACGUCCUCUGAAGGUGUGAAUAGGAGUGUCUUUCUAUGAUGUGCCGGCCCUGUGAUUGGCUGGUGAUCAGUCCGUGCUGGACGACACCGGGUCCUCUGGGAUAGGCUCCAGCGUCUCUGGGACCGUGAAGAGAAAGGCGGCAUUGGUAAUGGACACCGGGGUUGUACCCGAGUGUUUUAUACAAUCAUAUUCUUCAGAACAGGACGCCACCAGCCUUUCUGAUUCGCUCUCUAGUGUCUUCGGAACAAAUUCUAGUGAGAGAAUAAUCAAACAGCGGUGAUCCAUUCUCUUUUGUAAUAAACAAUGGGGUUUCAAGGCCCCGCUGAAAUUAAUGAAUUACACAGCUUUAAACAAAACUGAUUGGAAUUAAGGGUUGUUGUUUUUUUGCAAAAUCCAAAAAAAUGCUCCCUUUGUGUCUCAGCAGAUGGCGUGUUGGUAACCGGUUUGAUUGACAGUCGCAUGCAAGUGACCAAAUUGUCACCAUACCACACUAACAUCUAACGGUGUAAAAAAAAAAUGUGUUUCUCAAUUUUUUAUUGCCUAUAUGUGUGGUAGCCUUAAAGGGGAACAUUAUCACCAGACCUAUGUAAGCGUCAAUAUAUACCUUGAUGUUGCAGAAAAAAGACCAUAUGUUUUUUUAACCGAUUUCCGAACUCUAAAAGGGUGAAUUUGACGAUUGAAACGCCUUUAAAUUGUUUGCUGUCGGAGUAAUGACCUUUCACCCGUGACGUCACAACCGGAAGCAAUCCGCCAUUUUCUCAAACACAUUACACACACCAAGUCAAAUCAGCUCUGUUAUUUUCCGUUUUUUCGACUGUUUUCCGUACCUUGGAGACAUUAUGAUUCGUGGGUGUGUUGUCGGAGGAUGUAACAAAACGAUCAGGGACGGAUUCAAGUUGAGUUACGUGGAGUGUGCUAAUCAGACAUCAAUGGUCACGGCGUGCUAAUCGAUGCUAACAUGCUAUUUAGGCUAGCUGUAUGUACAUAUUGCAUCAUUAUGCCUCAUUUGUUGCUAUAUUUGCAUCCAGCCUUUCCUUUCACCCACAUUUAAUGCCAAACAAACACAUACCAAUCGACAAAUUCAAGUUGCACCGCAACAGUGGUCAAAAGAUGCGACAGUCCCUCGCACGCUUUACCGACGAUAGUGAUGCUACGACAGAUAUGUGAGGAUAUCCUGCAACACUCAAAGCAGAUGCAUUUCCAACGAUAAAGUCAACGAAAUCACAAAGGUGAGUUUUGUGGAUGUUAUUGACUUAUGUGCUAAUCAGACAUAUUUGGUCACGGCAUGACUGCCAGCUAAUCGAUGCUAACAUGCUAUUUAGGCUAGCUGUAUGUACAUAUCGCAUCAUUAUGCCUCAUUUGUAGCUAUAUUUGCAUCCAGCCUUUCCCUCCACCCACAUUUAAUGCCAAACAAACACAUACCAAUCGACGGAUUCAAGUUGCACCAGUUGUCAAAAGAUGCAAUCGUUGGUUAGAAGGUGGUCGCAGAAUUCGUCCUCGCUUCCUCCUGUGCCGCUGUCUGUCGUGAUAUGCCUCAAUAGCUUCAGUUUAUUCUUCAAUUCUGUUUUUGCUAUCUGCCUCCACACUACACCCUUCCGUUUCAAUACAUGCGUAAUCUGUUGAAUUGCUUAAACCACUGAAAUCCGAGUCAGAAUCCGAGCUAAUGUCGCUAUAUCUUUCUGUUCUAUCCGGCAUGUUUGUUUGUAUUGGCGUCACGCAGUGACGUCACAGGAAAAUGGAUGGGUGGAUAUAGCGAUGGUGAAAAUUAGGCACUUUGAAGCUUUUUUUCGGGAUAUUGCGUGAUGGGUAAAAUUUUGAAAAAAACUUUGAAAAUUAAAAUAAACCACUGGGAACUGAUUUUUAUUGGUUUUAACCCUUCUGAAAUUGUGAUAAUGUUCCCCUUUCAGUGUAACUGCGACUCAUUUGGCCAAAGUCCCUGGGACGAGUUUGUUAAAGUAUGAUCCUUUUUAUCGCCAAAAAACGGCCAAAAAUCACUGCAGCAAAGUUUGGCACCAAACAAUGCUAUCAUUCGUAGAAACAAUGCGUUUGCAAUUCCUGUGAAGGAGGCCUUCGGGCCUGAUCUACAUGGAGGUUUGGGUGUUUUAAACCACGUGCAAACUUGAUAGUGCAUGCACAGCUGAUCUACUCAGCUCUGAGAAAUGCGUCUCUUAAAGGAACAAAAUAGAGAGUGAAGUUACAAAAAUAAUCAAUUAGAAUUUAGCACAGCCAAUGUGAUUCAUCAAGGUUGUUUUGCGUCUAAAAUUAGCCCGUGCAAAAUGUGCGUGCAAACUGGCACAGUGAAGAAGGAAGCGAUCGCACUGUAAAGACUCAAUUGAGAGAGAAUCCGGUGUAAGUGUCGAUUUGGACUAUCGUAAAGAAAAACACAUUAAGCAAUAUUAUUUUAUAAUUUUAUAACUCCUUGAUAACUAAAUGGUCUGACUAAUGCAGCGCCUCCCAAAGCGCACCGUCUGUGUACUGAAAAAUAGGAUCUGUUAUCGCUAUCAUCCAUCCAUUUUCUACUGCUUGUCCCUUUUGGGGUCGCUGGAGCCUAUCUCAGCUGCAUUCCGCCGUUAGGCGGAGUACACCCUGGACAAGUCUCCACUUCAUCGCAGGGCCAACACAGAUAGACAGACAACAUUCACACACUAGGGCCAAUUUAGUGUUGCCAAUCAACCUAUCCCCAGGUCUUCAUCAAUGAUUCUCAAACUGUGGUACCAUCUAGUGGUAUACCAAAUAAUCCCUUAAUUAAAUAUUCAAACACAGUGUCACUGUUCAAACUGUGUUUAAAAUAUUAAAUGUACUUGCUAAAACAUCUGCCUUGUUUUCAAUGAAUAUUUUGGCCUACCAUGCUACUGAAUUCUAUUGUUUGUCAUUAUAGUGGUAUUCGGAAAGCCAAAUAUUUUCUGAGGCGGUACUUAGAGAAAAAAGUUUUAGAACUUACUUACUGUCGCUCACAUUUUUAAUGUAUAUAGCCCAGAAAAGGCGAUACAUAUUUUACGUGUGUGCUGCAUGUCAACAACAUGACAAAACGCCACAGGUGGGAGCAUGUUCCCAUACAUGUGGAGGGAAAUGAGUAUCUCCAUGGUCACAGCUGCUACACGGGCAAAAACCUCAUUUAAAAAGGGCAGUGUUUAUCACUCUUGCGAUUGUUAUUCAUUGUACACGUCUUGGUGAAUCACAUGCAACACAUUCACUAAUAGAACCCACAAUUUUACAGUUUGCACAUGCUAUUUAAGGCCUACUGAAACCCACUACUACCGACCACGCAGUCUGAUAGUUUAUAUAUCAAUGAUGAAAUAUUAACAUUGCAACACAUGCCAGUACGGGCGGUUUAGUUUACUAAAUUACAAUUUUAAAUUUCCCACGGAGUUUCCUGUUGAAAACGUUGCGGAAUGAUGACGCAUGUCUGUGACAUUAUUGGUUGGAGGGGACAUAUUAGCCCAGCACCACUUGCGGCUAAAAGUUGUCUCUUUUCAUCGCAUAAUUACACAGUAUUUUGGACGUCUGUGUUGCUGAAUCUUUUGCAAUUUGUUCAAUUAAUAAUGGAGACUAUAAAGGAGAAUGCUGUUGGUGGAAAGCGGUGGAUUGCAGCUGCCUUUAGCAACCGAAACACAGCCGGUGUUUCUUUGUUUGUUGUGAAGCUUUAACACAGAGUGGUCAAGCAAACAUGUUUCUCUACGUCAACCAGCAAGUUUUUGGAUGGGAAAAUUGUGAUAUUAAGUUGGCUCUUACCGGAGACUUGAGUGGAUUACGCGACCUCGUCCUGCAGCUCAAAAAGGCAGCUGUGAUCUUGGCUAACCUGCUUCUCUCGGAGACACUGGCGUUCACCACAGCCAUCCGACUUUCAGGUAUGACUUUAUAAUCUCACUAAAAUACUAUUAAAACAAUAAGCAGAUUUUAAGGUUUUCCUACUUACGUAUAAAAUACUACAUGAUCUAGCUCCAUCCUAUCUUGCCGAUUGUAUUGUACCAUAUGUACCGGCAAGAAAUCUGCGUUCAAAGGACUCCGGCUUAUUAGGGAUUCCCAGAGCCCAAAAAAAGUCUGCGGGCUAUAGAGCGUUUUCUGUUCGGGCUCCAGUACUCUGGAAUGCCCUCCCGGUAACAGUUCGAGAUGCCACCUCAGUAGAAGCAUUUAAGUCUCAUCUUAAAACUCAUUUGUAUACUCUAGCCUUCAAAUAGACUCCCUUUUUGGACCAGUUGAUCUGCCGUUUCUUUUCUUUUUCUCCUAUGUCCCAGUCUCCCUUGUGGAGGGGGUCCGGUCCGAUGUCCAUGGAUGAAGUUCUGGCUGUCCAGAGUCGGGACCCAGGAUGGACCACUCGUCUGGAGUCUGGACCCAGGAUGGACCGCUUGCCUGUGUAUCGGCUGGGGACAUCUCUGCGCUGCUGAUCCGCCUCCGCUUGGGAUGGUUUCCUGCUGGCUCCGCUGUGGACGGGACUCUCGCUGCUGUGUUGGAUCCGCUUUGGACUGGACUCUCGCGGCUGUGUUGGAUCCACUACGGACUGAACUUUUCACAGUAUCAUGUUAGACACGCUCGACAUUCAUUGCUUUCGGGGGUGUUGCCCACAUAUGUGGUCCUCUCCAAGGUUCUCAUAGUUCUCAUUGUCACCGACAUCCCACUGGGUGUGAGUUUUCCUUGCCCUUAUGUGGGCCUACCGAGGAUGUCGUAGUGGUUUGUGUUGUGGUUUGUGCAGCCCUUUGAGACACUAGUGAUUUAGGGCUCUAUAAAUGAACAUUGAUUGAUUUUCCAAAAUUAUCCUAGUAAAUGUGUCUAAUUAUAUCUGAAACGCUCCGACUGCCGCCGCCUGGAGCCCUCGCUUUUUCUUUUUUCUUCUUUUUUUUUUUUAGUGCUUCACUCUAACUUUCCUCAUCCACGAAUCUUUCAUCCUCGCUCAAAUUAAUGGGGGAAUCGUCGCUUUCUCGGUCCGAAUUGAUCUUACUGCUGGUGGCUCACAUUAUAAACAAUGUGAGUAUAUGAGGAGCCCUCACACUGGUGACGUCACACGCACAUCGUCUGCUACUCCCGGUACAGGCAAGGCUUUUUUAUUAGCAACCAAAAGUUGCGAACUUUAUCGUCGAUGUUCUCUACUAAAUCCUUUCAGCAAAAAUAUGGCAAUAUCGCGAAAUGAUCAAGUAUGACACAUAGAAUAGACCUGCUAUCCCCGUUUAAAUAAGAAAAUCUCAUUUCAGUAGGCCUUUAGCACUUAUUCUAACCUGAGUAGAUCACAUCCUUACAUGGAUGCAUCUAGAUGGGAUGUUUUCCGGUUAGAUUAGUAUUUUUGAGGAGACAGGUGCUGGGGGGAAUGACUUAGAAGAAUGACAAUUGGGAGGAUUGUUGUUUAUCCUUCCAGCAGAGUGAAAACCCCUCUAAUAAAUACCCAGAGAGCAUUGUGGCUUUUGCGGUUUGGUUUUACAAUUCUGGGGCACCGUCUUCCGUGCAAUUUGAACUUGCGUUGACCACAACAAGGCAAACCUUUCAAUCAAGGCAGGCGAAGCAUCCAUUCAUCCAUAUUCUACCGCUUGUCCCUCUCAGGGUUGCAGGUGUGCUGGAGCGUAUCGCAGUUUAGGAUUUAAUUCAAAUAUGCAAAUGUAGACAAUAAUACUGAACAAAAUGUUUAAAAAAUGUUUUGUUAUCAAUAAUCAUACAGAACAUUCAAACACGUUUUCAUUACCUAAACCACAAAUGUCAAACUAUAUCAUUUUAUAUGGCUCGUGAACGCCUUGAAAUUAAAUGCAUCAAUAAAGUACCCAUUAUUUUCUUCCUAAAUGCAUUCGGUUUUUUACAUGUACUGCGUGAAAUUGCAUACAUUUAAAAUUGUACUAAUAUCCAAUAUUGCAAAAAAUAUGGUUUAAUAAUACUUUCCAAUAAUUUUUUUCGUUUAAAAUAAAGAUAAAUACCUACAUUUCAAAGCAAGUUAUCAAUCAAGUUGUACAAUUUAAAAAUUAACAGAGAAUUUACGGUAAAAUGUAGUGUUUUUAACAAAAUAUUACUGUAAACUGAAAUAAACUAACAUUUUUAUUUCUACAGUAAAAUUUCUGUCGACUGAGACAGUUUUUUUGUACCGUAAAAUUGACGGUUGUUUUUUUCACGGUGUAUUACUGUGAAUGGAAAAACAGUAUCACAUUUAUUUACAGUAAAAAAAUGGUAUCUGAGUUGCCCAUCCAUCCAUCCAUUUUACAUCCAUCCAUUUUCUACCGCUUAUAUUCUUUUGGGGUCGCGGGGCCGCUGGCGCCUAUUUCAGCUACAAUCGGGCGGAAGGCGGGGUACACCCUGGACAAGUCGCCACCUAAUCGCAAAGCCAACAGAGACAGACAACAUUCACACUCACAUUCACACACUAGGGCCCAUUUAGUGUUGCCAAUCAACCUAUUGCCAAUAUAUGAAUAAAAGAAACGGUGAUACUGUUUAUUUUCUAUUUACAAUAUUAUGUUGGUGUCAGGCUAUUCCUGACUGUUUGUCUAUGUUUUAGUUUUUUCCUCUGCAUUUGUCUGUUUCCUCUGUUUAGUAUUUCCUGUAUUUAGUUCCUGUCGUGCUCUUAUUUUGGUUCAGCUUCCUGUUUGUCUCCCUGUGUCCUGUUUUCACUCAGCUGCGGCUGAUUGGCAUCUGGUCACACCUGAUGUCAAUCGGCCAGCUCCUAUUUUACCUGCUUUGUUCCUCCAGUCAGUGCUGGAUCAUUGUAUUGCAUUGUCGUUGCCACAUGUCACUCUUGUCGUGCUACCUGUCGCGUCAUUUUGUUGCAGCUACUACCUGUCGUGCUACAUUUUGUCCUGGUCGUCGUAGCGGUAAGCUGUUUCUUGUUAGCCAUUAGUUAUUUCCAGUUUUUCUGUUUGCUAUCCUCUAGCUUCCAUGCUAAAGUUCCUUUUUGUUUUCUAGCUUCCUGUGCUAGCUCCCUUAGUUUGUUAUUCCGCCCACGUGUGUGCUUUUUGUUUGUUCUUGUUUAGUUUUAAUUAAAUCAUGUUUUCAUAUUCUA
Long non-coding RNA from Nerophis ophidion (straightnose pipefish), 11482 nucleotides. RefSeq lists it as uncharacterized. The transcript has 3 exons. Lineage: Eukaryota; Metazoa; Chordata; Actinopteri; Syngnathiformes; Syngnathidae. The record is from RefSeq and is a predicted model, not a curated record.